RNAcentral lists this ribosomal RNA (504 nucleotides) under uncultured bacterium. RNAcentral describes it as "partial 16S ribosomal RNA". It matches the Rfam family "Bacterial small subunit ribosomal RNA", at positions 30 to 523 of the family's 1533-position model. The record is from RNAcentral.
AUUGAACGCUGGCGGCAGGCCUAACACAUGCAAGUCGGACGGUAGCACAGAGAGCUUGCUCUUGGGUGAAGAGUGGCGGACGGGUGAGUAAUGUCUGGGGAUCUGCCCGAUAGAGGGGGAUAACCACUGGAAACGGUGGCUAAUACCGCAUACCGUCGUAAGACCAAAGAGGGGGACCUUCGGGCCUCUCACUAUCGGAUGAACCCGGAUGGGAUUAGCUAGUAGGCGGGGUAAUGGCCCACCUAGGCGACGAUCCCUAGCUGGUCUGAGAGGAUGACCAGCCACACUGGAACUGAGACACGGUCCAGACUCCUACGGGAGGCAGCAGUGGGGAAUAUUGCACAAUGGGCGCAAGCCUGAUGCAGCCAUGCCGCGUGUAUGAAGAAGGCCUUCGGGUUGUAAAGUACUUUCAGCGGGGAGGAAGGCGGUGAGGUUAAUAACCUUGCCGAUUGACGUUACCCGCAGAAGAAGCACCGGCUAACUCCGUGCCAGCAGCCGCCGUAA